GAUGAACGCUGACAGCAUGCUUAACACAUGCAAGUCAACUGUGGCGGACGGGUGAGUAACGCGUAAAGAACUUGCCUCACAGAUAGGGACAACAUUUGGAAACGAAUGCUAAUACCUGAUACUGUGAGAGAGCUUUGCGUCCCAUUAGCUAGUUGGGGAGGUAACGGCUCACCAAGGCGAGGAUGGGUAGCCGGCCUGAGAGGGUGAUCGGCCACAAGGGGACUGGGACACGGCCCUUACGCCAACGGGGGGCAGCAGUGGGGAAUAUUGAACAAUGGACCAAAGUCUGAUCCAGCAAUUCUGUGGGCACGAUGAAGUUUUCGGAAUGUAAAGUGAUUUCAGUUGGGAAGCAGUACCAACAGAAGAAGUGACGGCUAAAUACGUGCCAGCAGCCGCGGUAAUAC
This 404-nucleotide ribosomal RNA is filed under the name uncultured bacterium. Its description in RNAcentral is "partial 16S ribosomal RNA". It matches the Rfam family "Bacterial small subunit ribosomal RNA", at positions 28 to 526 of the family's 1533-position model. The record is from RNAcentral.